This is a small nucleolar RNA of Gossypium arboreum, 107 nucleotides long. It matches the Rfam family "Plant small nucleolar RNA R71". Rfam says of the family: R71 is a member of the C/D box family of snoRNAs containing the C (UGAUGA) and D (CUGA) box motifs. The record is from Rfam. Lineage: Eukaryota; Viridiplantae; Streptophyta; Magnoliopsida; Malvales; Malvaceae.
AACCAAUGGUGGAGGCACUUUCUCAAUAAAUCAUUAUUCCUCUCCCAUGUAUCGUAUAGGGUUUCUAAGUCCAUUUGCACAAAGAAAGAGAUAUCAUUCCUCAACUU